Molecule: ribosomal RNA, 427 nt
Filed under: uncultured bacterium
Lineage: Bacteria
Description: partial 16S ribosomal RNA
Rfam family: Bacterial small subunit ribosomal RNA
Source: RNAcentral
UGGGGAAUAUUGGACAAUGGGCGAAAGCCUGAUCCAGCCAUGCCGCGUGUGUGAAGAAGGUCUUCGGAUUGUAAAGCACUUUAAGUUGGGAGGAAGGGUUGUAGAUUAAUACUCUGCAAUUUUGACGUUACCGACAGAAUAAGCACCGGCUAACUCUGUGCCAGCAGCCGCGGUAAUACAGAGGGUGCAAGCGUUAAUAGGAAUUACUGGGCGUAAAGCGCGCGUAGGUGGUUUGUUAAGUUGGAUGUGAAAGCCCCGGGCUCAACCUGGGAACUGCAUCCAAAACUGGCAAGCUAGAGUACGGUAGAGGGUGGUGGAAUUUCCUGUGUAGCGGUGAAAUGCGUAGAUAUAGGAAGGAACACCAGUGGCGAAGGCGACCACCUGGACUGAUACUGACACUGAGGUGCGAAAGCGUGGGGAGCAAACA